This 253-nucleotide ribosomal RNA is filed under the name uncultured bacterium. RNAcentral describes it as "partial 16S ribosomal RNA". It matches the Rfam family "Bacterial small subunit ribosomal RNA", at positions 524 to 776 of the family's 1533-position model. The record is from RNAcentral.
UACGUAGGGUGCAAGCGUUAAUCGGAAUUACUGGGCGUAAAGCGUGCGCAGGCGGUUUUGUAAGUCUGACGUGAAAUCCCCGGGCUUAACCUGGGAAUUGCGUUGGAGACUGCAAGGCUGGAGUCUGGCAGAGGGGGGUAGAAUUCCACGUGUAGCAGUGAAAUGCGUAGAGAUGUGGAGGAACACCGAUGGCGAAGGCAGCCCCCUGGGUCAAGACUGACGCUCAUGCACGAAAGCGUGGGGAGCAAACAGG